AAUAGAUACCCAGGUAGUCCACCCCGUAAACGUUGGGAACUAGUUGUGGGGUCCCUUCCACGGAUUCCGUGACGCAGCUAACGCAUUAAGUUCCCCGCCUGGGGAGUACGGCCGCAAGGCUAAAACUCAAAGGAAUUGACGGGGACCCGCACAAGCGGCGGAGCAUGUGGAUUAAUUCGAUGCAACGCGAAGAACCUUACCAAGGCUUGACAUACACCGGAAACGGCCAGAGAUGGUCGCCCCGCAAGGUCGGUGUACAGGUGGUGCAUGGUUGUCGUCAGCUCGUGUCGUGAGAUGUUGGGUUAAGUCCCGCAACGAGCGCAACCCUCGUUCUAUGUUGCCAGCACGUAAUGGUGGGAACUCAUGGGAUACUGCCGGGGUCAACUCGGAGGAAGGUGGGGAUGACGUCAAAUCAUCAUGCCCCUUAUGUCUUGGGCUUCACGCAUGCUACAAUGGCCGGUACAAAGGGCUGCAAUACCGUGAGGUGGAGCGAAUCCCAAAAAGCCGGUCCCAGUUCGGAUUGAGGUCUGCAACUCGACCUCAUGUAAC
This 549-nucleotide ribosomal RNA is filed under the name uncultured bacterium. RNAcentral's name for it is "bacterial SSU rRNA". It matches the Rfam family "Bacterial small subunit ribosomal RNA", at positions 777 to 1326 of the family's 1533-position model. The record is from RNAcentral.